This 273-nucleotide ribosomal RNA is filed under the name uncultured bacterium. RNAcentral's name for it is "partial 16S ribosomal RNA". It matches the Rfam family "Bacterial small subunit ribosomal RNA", at positions 523 to 796 of the family's 1533-position model. The record is from RNAcentral.
AUACGGAGGGGGUUAGCGUUGUUCGGAAUUACUGGGCGUAAAGCGCACGUAGGCGGACUGGAAAGUUGGGGGUGAAAUCCCGGGGCUCAACCCCGGAACUGCCUCCAAAACUUCCAAUCUAGAGAUCGAGAGAGGUGAGUGGAAUUCCAAGUGUAGAGGUGAAAUUCGUAGAUAUUUGGAGGAACACCAGUGGCAAGGCGGCUCACUGGCUCGAUACUGACGCUGAGGUGCGAAAGCGUGGGGAGCAGACAGGAUUAGAAACCCCAGUAGUCC